UACGAAGGGGGCUAGCGUUGCUCGGAAUCACUGGGCGUAAAGGGUGCGUAGGCGGGUCUUUAAGUCAGGGGGGAAAUCCUGGAGCUCAACUCCAGAACUGCCUUUGAUACUGAAGAUCUUGAGUUCGGGAGAGGUGAGUGGAACUGCGAGUGUAGAGGUGAAAUUCGUAGAUAUUCGGAAGAACACCAGUGGCGAAGGCGGCUCACUGGUCCGGUACUGACGCUGAUGUGCGAAAGCGUGGGGAGCAAACAGG
RNAcentral lists this ribosomal RNA (253 nucleotides) under uncultured bacterium. Its description in RNAcentral is "partial 16S ribosomal RNA". It matches the Rfam family "Bacterial small subunit ribosomal RNA", at positions 524 to 776 of the family's 1533-position model. The record is from RNAcentral.